GACGAACGCUGGCGGCGUGCCUAAUACAUGCAAGUAGAACGCUGAAGAGAGGAGCUUGCUCUUCUUGGAUGAGUUGCGAACGGGUGAGUAACGCGUAGGUAACCUGCCUUGUAGCGGGGGAUAACUAUUGGAAACGAUAGCUAAUACCGCAUAACAAUGGAUGACACAUGUCAUUUAUUUGAAAGGGGCAAUUGCUCCACUACAAGAUGGACCUGCGUUGUAUUAGCUAGUAGGUGAGGUAAUGGCUCACCUAGGCGACGAUACAUAGCCGACCUGAGAGGGUGAUCGGCCACACUGGGACUGAGCCACGGCCCAGACUCCUACGGGAGGCAGCAGUAGGGAAUCUUCGGCAAUGGGGGCAACCCUGACCGAGCAACGCCGCGUGAGUGAAGAAGGUUUUCGGAUCGUAAAGCUCUUUUGUAAGUCAAAAACGGGUGUGAGAGGGGAAAGUUCACACUGUGACGGUAGCUUACCAGAAAGGGACGGCUAACUACGU
Molecule: ribosomal RNA, 496 nt
Filed under: uncultured bacterium
Lineage: Bacteria
Description: partial 16S ribosomal RNA
Rfam family: Bacterial small subunit ribosomal RNA
Source: RNAcentral